This 453-nucleotide ribosomal RNA is filed under the name uncultured Porphyromonadaceae bacterium. RNAcentral describes it as "partial 16S ribosomal RNA". It matches the Rfam family "Bacterial small subunit ribosomal RNA", at positions 341 to 792 of the family's 1533-position model. The record is from RNAcentral. Lineage: Bacteria; Pseudomonadati; Bacteroidota; Bacteroidia; Bacteroidales; Porphyromonadaceae.
ACGGAAGGCAGCAGUGAGGAAUAUUGGUCAAUGGGUGGAAGCCUGAACCAGCCAAGUCGCGUGAGGGAGGAAGGUCCUACGGAUUGUAAACCUCUUUAGCCGGGGAGCAAUAAGCGCUACGCGUAGCGUGAUGCGAGUACCCGGAGAAUAAGGAUCGGCUAACUCCGUGCCAGCAGCCGCGGUAAUACGGAGGAUCCGAGCGUUAUCCGGAUUUAUUGGGUUUAAAGGGUGCGCAGGCGGUCGAUUAAGUCAGUGGUCAAAUCGUGGGGCUCAACUCCAUCCCGCCAUUGAUACUGGUUGACUUGAUUCCGGUCGAGGCAGGCGGAAUUCGCGGUGUAGCGGUGAAAUGCAUAGAUAUCGCGAAGAACUCCGAUUGCGUAGGCAGCUUACCAGGCCGGCAAUGACGCUCAUGCACGAAAGUGCGGGGAUCGAACAGGAUUAGAUACCCUGGUA